Molecule: ribosomal RNA, 497 nt
Filed under: uncultured bacterium
Lineage: Bacteria
Description: partial 16S ribosomal RNA
Rfam family: Bacterial small subunit ribosomal RNA
Source: RNAcentral
GAUGAACGCUGGCGGCGUGCCUAAAACAUGCAAGUCGAGCGAACAGAUGAGGAGCUUGCUCCUCUGACGUUAGCGGCGGACGGGUGAGUAACACGUGGAUAACCUACCUAUAAGACUGGGAUAACUUCGGGAAACCGGAGCUAAUACCGGAUAAUAUAUUGAACCGCAUGGUUCAAUAGUGAAAGACGGUUUUGCUGUCACUUAUAGAUGGAUCCGCGCCGCAUUAGCUAGUUGGUAAGGUAACGGCUUACCAAGGCAACGAUGCGUAGCCGACCUGAGAGGGUGAUCGGCCACACUGGAACUGAGACACGGUCCAGACUCCUACGGGAGGCAGCAGUAGGGAAUCUUCCGCAAUGGGCGAAAGCCUGACGGAGCAACGCCGCGUGAGUGAUGAAGGUCUUCGGAUCGUAAAACUCUGUUAUUAAGGAAGAACAAAUGUGUAAGUAACUAUGCACGUCUUGACGGUACCUAAUCAGAAAGCCACGGCUAACUACGUG